RNAcentral lists this ribosomal RNA (497 nucleotides) under uncultured bacterium. RNAcentral's name for it is "partial 16S ribosomal RNA". It matches the Rfam family "Bacterial small subunit ribosomal RNA", at positions 28 to 507 of the family's 1533-position model. The record is from RNAcentral.
GAUGAACGCUGGCGGCGUGCCUAAUACAUGCAAGUCGAGCGAACAGACGAGGAGCUUGCUCCUCUGACGUUAGCGGCGGACGGGUGAGUAACACGUGGAUAACCUACCUAUAAGACUGGGAUAACUUCGGGAAACCGGAGCUAAUACCGGAUAAUAUAUUGAACCGCAUGGUUCAACAGUGAAAGACGGUUUUGCUGUCACUUAUAGAUGGAUCCGCGCCGCAUUAGCUAGUUGGUAAGGUAACAGCUUACCAAGGCAACGAGGCGUAGCCGACCUGAGAGGGUGAUAGGCCACACUGGAACUGAGACACGGUCAAACCUCCUACGGGAGGCAGCAGUAGGGAAUCUACCGCAAUGGGCGAAAGCCUGACGGAGCAACGCCGCGUGAGUGAUGAAGGGCUUCGGAUCGUAAAACUCUGUUAUUAGGGAAGAACAAAUGUGUAAGUAACUAUGCACGUCUUGACGGUACCUAAUCAGAAAGCCACGGCUAACUACGUG